AUUGAACGCUGGCGGCAGGCCUAACACAUGCAAGUCGAGCGGAUGAAGGGAGCUUGCUCCUGGAUUCAGCGGCGGACGGGCGAGUAAUGCCUAGGAAUCUGCCUGGUAGUGGGGGAUAACGUCCGGAAACGGGCGCUAAUACCGCAUACGUACUGAGGGAGAAAGUGGGGGAUCUUCGGACCUCACGCUAUCAGAUGAGCCUAGGUCGGAUUAGCUAGUUGGUGGGGUAAAGGCCUACCAAGGCGACGAUCCGUAACUGGUCUGAGAGGAUGAUCAGUCACACUGGAACUGAGACACGGUCCAGACUCCUACGGGAGGCAGCAGUGGGGAAUAUUGGACAAUGGGCGAAAGCCUGAUCCAGCCAUGCCGCGUGUGUGAAGAAGGUCUUCGGAUUGUAAAGCACUUUAAGUUGGGAGGAAGGGCAGUAAGUUAAUACCUUGCUGUUUUGACGUUACCAACAGAAUAAGCACCGGCUAACUUCGUG
This 484-nucleotide ribosomal RNA is filed under the name uncultured bacterium. Its description in RNAcentral is "partial 16S ribosomal RNA". It matches the Rfam family "Bacterial small subunit ribosomal RNA", at positions 30 to 507 of the family's 1533-position model. The record is from RNAcentral.